UUGGAGGGCAAGUCUGGUGCCAGCAGCCGCGGUAAUUCCAGCUCCAAUAGCGUAUAUUAAAGUUGUUGCAGUUAAAAAGCUCGUAGUUGAAUUUCGGGGUCAGUAGGUUGGUCAUGGCACUGCUAUGUACUGGCCUCACUGAUUCCUCCUUCCUGAUGAGCCGUAAUGCCAUUAAUUUGGUGUUGCGAGGAAUCUGGACUGUUACUUUGAAAAAAUUAGAGUGUUUAAAGCAGGCUAACGCUUGAAUACAUUAGCAUGGAAUAAUGAAAUAGGACGUUCGAUCUUAUUUUGUUGGUUUCUAAGAUUGACGUAAUGAUUAAUAGGGAUAGUUGGG
Molecule: ribosomal RNA, 334 nt
Filed under: Glomus sp.
Lineage: Eukaryota; Fungi; Glomeromycota; Glomeromycetes; Glomerales; Glomeraceae
Description: SSU rRNA
Rfam family: Eukaryotic small subunit ribosomal RNA
Source: RNAcentral